Molecule: transfer RNA, 72 nt
Filed under: Phrynosoma platyrhinos (Desert horned lizard)
Lineage: Eukaryota; Metazoa; Chordata; Lepidosauria; Squamata; Phrynosomatidae
Description: tRNA-OTHER
Source: RNAcentral
GCCAGUGUGGUCUAGUGGUUUGAAUGUUGGACUACCACUCUGGAGACCCGGGUUCAAAUCCCCACUCAGCCA